UUGGUUUCAUAAGUAGAAAACUUAAUUUGGCUUCCUUGAUAUGGCUGAUAAACUCAUUUCAGCAUAAAAUGGGAGUAGAAUUCCAAUUUGCAGUUUAUUUAGGGAUACCAAAUUUGUUUUCAAAGCAGAAAAUCUUGGUUGGAAAAUAUUGUCAAUUGCAGUGCCUUCUGCUAUGGCUUUGACAACUGAUCCUAUUGCUUCACUGGUUGACACAACAUUCAUUGGCCGAAUAGAUAUUUAGAGCACUUGGUUAUCUUCACAACAGCAUUGGAGUUUGUCACAGGGACAUAGAACCUCAAAAUUACUGGUCAGUCUUCACAUCCACCAGCUGAAGAUAUGUGACUUUGGAAGUGCUAAAAUUUUG
Arachis ipaensis is the source of this 364-nucleotide non-coding RNA. The record is from RefSeq and is a predicted model, not a curated record. NCBI's taxonomy places the organism in Eukaryota, Viridiplantae, Streptophyta, Magnoliopsida, Fabales, Fabaceae.